This is a non-coding RNA of Pelobates cultripes (western spadefoot toad), 290 nucleotides long. The record is from the annotation of a GenBank genome assembly. NCBI's taxonomy places the organism in Eukaryota, Metazoa, Chordata, Amphibia, Anura, Pelobatidae.
GCUCUGUGUUGGCCUGUAUAAGUUAUUUUGGGCAUAUUUGACUACACAAGGUUCUAUGCGCCACCUACUGGAACAUUUGUAUAUCUUUAGUGUUCCCUUCUGUAGAUACACUAUGAUCAGUCACAACAUUAAAGGGACACUAUAGUCACCCAGACCACUUCAGCUCAAUGACCCCUGCGGCCGGGUGCCCCCCGUCAUGUUUUGCGGCACCGGGCCGCCGUUCAAUGGGUCCAUCUGGUGGCCCAUGCUGUUAGGGCCACCCGAUGGGUAUGGAUUUUCAGGAGGUCCGG